This 30-nucleotide non-coding RNA is filed under the name Rattus norvegicus (Norway rat). Lineage: Eukaryota; Metazoa; Chordata; Mammalia; Rodentia; Muridae. The record is from RNAcentral.
UAGGCUGUUUUUCUCAAGUGUUUGUCACAA